CCUCGUCUCUACUAAAAAUUAUCCGGGCAUGGUGGCACAUGCUUGUAAUCCCAGCUACUCAGAAAGGCUGAGGCAGGAGAAUCACUUGAACCCAGGAGGCAGAGGUUGUGGUGAGCCGAGAUGGAGCCAUUGCAUUCCAGCCUGAGCAACAAGAGUGAAAAAAAAAAAGAAAAAAGCUAAAUUAUGUGUCUCAAAAAAAAAAAAAAAAAAAAGAAAAGAGCUAAAUUAUGUGGUGCUUUGGAAGCUGGGACCACAUGGACUCUUAAGAGGGAUGGCACCUUCUAAGAGGUUCCAAGGGCAGAAACAAGGGGCAGUUCCACUGGGUUUCAGACACAGAGAUCCCAGCCUGGAUUGUCGUGGAGGAUGAAGCUGCUCCAUCUUGGAUGCUGAUCCGCCAUGUUGUCCUCUGGUUAACCCCUGUUCUGGAAUGCCUCCUCUAAGAUUGCCACUUUAUCUACUGUGACCUUAAAUCCUGCUCUUAGGUAGAUUCACAUAGCAUUCUGUGCCUUUCCCUGAGGGGUUGACUUCAGUGGUGCCACACAUUUCUACUGAGGCAUGUGUACCUUUCGCAUCAGGUAUAUCAGCCCUGGGACUCGGGGAUAACUGACUGACAGCUGCCUGGCUUCUGUUUCUAAGUUGCUAUUAAAUGUUUCUUUCUGAGAAACUGGA
RNAcentral lists this long non-coding RNA (669 nucleotides) under Pan troglodytes (chimpanzee). RNAcentral describes it as "lincRNA". Lineage: Eukaryota; Metazoa; Chordata; Mammalia; Primates; Hominidae. The record is from RNAcentral.